Molecule: signal recognition particle RNA, 298 nt
Filed under: Saimiri boliviensis boliviensis (Bolivian squirrel monkey)
Lineage: Eukaryota; Metazoa; Chordata; Mammalia; Primates; Cebidae
Description: Metazoan signal recognition particle RNA (ENSSBOG00000006623.1)
Rfam family: Metazoan signal recognition particle RNA
About the family: The signal recognition particle (SRP) is a universally conserved ribonucleoprotein.
Source: RNAcentral
GCCGGGCUCAGUGGAACAUGCCUGUAGUCACAGCUACUCGGGAGGCUGAGGUGGGAGGAUCGCUUGAGCGUGGGAGUUCUGGGCUGUAGUACAUUAUGCUGAUUAGGUGUCCCCGCUAAGUUUGGCAUCAAUAUGGUGACCUCCUGGGAGUGGGGGACCACCAGAUUGCCUAAGGAGGGGUAACUGGCCCAGGUCAGAAACAGAGCAGGUCAAAACUCCUGUGCUGAUCAGUAGUGGGAUCGCACCUGUGAAUAGCCACUGAACUCCAGCCCGGGCAACAUAGCGAGANNNNNNNNNN